GAAAUGCGAUAAGUAAUGCGAAUUGCAGAAUUUCCGUGAGUCAUCGAAUCUUUGAACGCACAUUGCGCCCAUUGGUAUUCCAUGGGGCAUGCCUGUUCGAGCGUCAUUUGUACCCUCAAGCUCUGCUUGGUGUUGGGUGUUUGUCCCGUCUCCGCGCGUGGACUCGCCCCAAAGUGAUUGGCAGCCGGCGUACUGGUCCCGGAGCGCAGCACAUGUCGCGCAAACGAGUGCCUUGGUACGGCGGCGUCCAUAAGCCCCUCUCUCACGCUCUUGACCUCGGAUCAGGUAGGGAUACCCGCUGAACUUAAGC
RNAcentral lists this unclassified non-coding RNA (310 nucleotides) under plant metagenome. RNAcentral describes it as "partial contains 5.8S ribosomal RNA, internal transcribed spacer 2, and large subunit ribosomal RNA". The stretch from base 1 to 106 matches the Rfam family "5.8S ribosomal RNA", at positions 50 to 154 of the family's 154-position model. The record is from RNAcentral.